This 698-nucleotide ribosomal RNA is filed under the name alpha proteobacterium GWS-TZ-H181. Its description in RNAcentral is "bacterial SSU rRNA". It matches the Rfam family "Bacterial small subunit ribosomal RNA", at positions 10 to 758 of the family's 1533-position model. The record is from RNAcentral. Lineage: Bacteria; Pseudomonadati; Pseudomonadota; Alphaproteobacteria.
AGUUUGAUCCUGGCUCAGAACGAACGCUGGCGGCAGGCUUAACACAUGCAAGUCGAGCGCCCCCUCGGGGGAGCGGCAGACGGGUGAGUAAUGCAUGGGAAUCUACCUGGCUCUACGGAAUAACUCAGGGAAACUUGAACUAAUACCGUAUACGUCCCUCGGGAGAAAGAUUUAUCGGAGUUAGAUGAGCCCAUGUCUGAUUAGCUAGUUGGUGAGGUAAAGGCUCACCAAGGCGACGAUCAGUAGCUGGUCUGAGAGGAUGAUCAGCCACACUGGGACUGAGACACGGGCSGGACUCCUACGGGAGGCAGCAGUGGGGAAUAUUGGACAAUGGGCGCAAGCCUGAUCCAGCCAUGCCGCGUGAGUGAUGAAGGCCCUAGGGUUGUAAAGCUCUUUCACCGGUGAAGAUAAUGACGGUAACCGGAGAAGAAGCCCCGGCUAACUUCGUGCCAGCAGCCGCGGUAAUACGAAGGGGGCUAGCGUUGUUCGGAAUUACUGGGCGUAAAGCGCGCGUAGGCGGAUCGGUCAGUUAGGGGUGAAAUCCCGGGGCUCAACCCCCGGAACUGCCUCUAAUACUGCCGAUCUAGAGUUCGAGAGAGGUGAGUGGAAUUCCGAGUGUAGAGGUGAAAUUCGUAGAUAUUCGGAGGAACACCAGUGGCGAAGGCGCUACUGGUCGAUACUGANGCUGAGGUGCGAAA